CAGUCGCCACGGUAAUACGUAGGUGGCAAGCGCUGUCCGGAAUUAUUGGGCGUAAAGGGCUCGCAGGCGGUUUCUUAAGUCUGAUGUGAAAGCCCCCGGCUCAACCGGGGAGGGUCAUUGGAAACUGGGAAACUUGAGUGCAGAAGAGGAGAGUGGAAUUCUACGUGCAGCGGUGAAAUGCGUAGAGAUGUGGAGGAACACCAGUGGCGAAGGCGACUCUCUGGUCUGUAACUGACGCUGAGGAGCGAAAGCGUGGGGAGCGAACAGGAUUAGAUACCCCUGUAGUCCCUGUCUCUUAUAA
This 301-nucleotide ribosomal RNA is filed under the name uncultured bacterium. RNAcentral's name for it is "partial 16S ribosomal RNA". It matches the Rfam family "Bacterial small subunit ribosomal RNA", at positions 509 to 809 of the family's 1533-position model. The record is from RNAcentral.